GUGAAUCAUCGAAUCUUUGAACGCAAAUUGCGCUUCCUAGCAUCCCGGGAAGUAUGCCUGUUUGAGGGUCAGUAUUAACAAAAAAAUCGGUUUGGUUGCAAAUUGUGACGAUUCCGGAGUUUGGGCUAUCGUAACGUUUUUGGUUAAGGGGCGUAAAAGUGACCUUGUGUGCGCACUUGUAGACGUACAUAAAUUGUUUUUUGUAUUCGUCUAUUCGUAAUGCCAAAAGCAUAUUAGAUGCGAUCACAGCGUGUGGGUUG
Molecule: unclassified non-coding RNA, 260 nt
Filed under: Glomeromycetes sp.
Lineage: Eukaryota; Fungi; Glomeromycota; Glomeromycetes
Description: partial contains 5.8S ribosomal RNA and internal transcribed spacer 2
Rfam family: 5.8S ribosomal RNA (bases 1-71)
Source: RNAcentral